Molecule: transfer RNA, 72 nt
Filed under: Camelus bactrianus (Bactrian camel)
Lineage: Eukaryota; Metazoa; Chordata; Mammalia; Artiodactyla; Camelidae
Also listed under: 1 other name
Rfam family: tRNA
About the family: Transfer RNA (tRNA) molecules are approximately 80 nucleotides in length.
Source: Rfam by way of RNAcentral
UGAGGUAUAGCUCAGUGGUAGACUGGGCACUUGGGGUGCAUGAGGUCCUGGGUUCAAUCCCCAGUGCCUCCA